GCGAGGGUGGCGGAAUUGGUAGACGCGCUAGCUUCAGGUGUUAGUGUUCCGGACGUGGGGUUCAAGUCCCCUUUCGCACCA
Molecule: transfer RNA, 81 nt
Filed under: Providencia rettgeri
Lineage: Bacteria; Pseudomonadati; Pseudomonadota; Gammaproteobacteria; Enterobacterales; Morganellaceae
Description: tRNA-Leu
Rfam family: tRNA
About the family: Transfer RNA (tRNA) molecules are approximately 80 nucleotides in length.
Source: RNAcentral